Erinaceus europaeus (western European hedgehog) is the source of this 122-nucleotide ribosomal RNA. Lineage: Eukaryota; Metazoa; Chordata; Mammalia; Eulipotyphla; Erinaceidae. The record is from Ensembl.
GUUUAUCACCACACAACCCUGAAUGUACUCAAUCUCAUCUGUUCUUGGAAGCUAAGAAGAGUAGGACCUGGUUAGUAUUUAGAUGGGAGAGAUCAAGUGUAAAGCACAGAAGAUUGGAACCA